AGUGAACGCUGGCGGUAGGCCUAACACAUGCAAGUCGAACGGCAGCACAGUAAGAGCUUGCUCUUACGGGUGGCGAGUGGCGGACGGGUGAGGAAUACAUCGGAAUCUACUUUUUCGUGGGGGAUAACGUAGGGAAACUUACGCUAAUACCGCAUACGACCUACGGGUGAAAGCAGGGGAUCUUCGGACCUUGCGCGAUUGAAUGAGCCGAUGUCGGAUUAGCUAGUUGGCGGGGUAAAGGCCCACCAAGGCGACGAUCCGUAGCUGGCCUGAGAGGAUGAUCAGCCACACUGGAACUGAGACACGGUCCAGACUCCUACGGGAGGCAGCAGUGGGGAAUAUUGGACAAUGGGCGCAAGCCUGAUCCAGCCAUACCGCGUGGGUGAAGAAGGCCUUCGGGUUGUAAAGCCCUUUUGUUGGGAAAGAAAAGCAGCAGGUUAAUACCCCGCUGUUCUGGCGGUACCCAAAGAAUAAGCACCGGCUAACUUCGUG
This 492-nucleotide ribosomal RNA is filed under the name uncultured bacterium. RNAcentral's name for it is "partial 16S ribosomal RNA". It matches the Rfam family "Bacterial small subunit ribosomal RNA", at positions 29 to 507 of the family's 1533-position model. The record is from RNAcentral.